GUGGGGAAUCUUCCGCAAUGGACGAAAGUCUGACGGAGCAACGCCGCGUGAGUGAAGAAGGUUUUCGGAUCGUAAAGCUCUUUCGUUAGGGACGAACGUGCUCUUUGUGAAUAAUGAGGAGUAAUGACGGUACCUAAAUAAGAAGCCACGGCUAACUACGUGCCAGCAGCCGCGGUAAUACGUAGGUGGCAAGCGUUGUCCGGAAUUAUUGGGCGUAAAGCGCGCGCAGGCGGGAUAGUAAGUCUGUCUUAAAAGUGCGAGGCUCAACCUCGUGAGGGGACAGAAACUGGUAGUCUUGAGUGUCGGAGAGGAAAGUGGAAUUCCAAGUGUAGCGGUGAAAUGCGUAGAGAUUUGGAAGAACACCAGUGGCGAAGGCGACUUUCUGGACGAUGUCUGACGCUGAGGCGCGAAAGCUAGGGGAGCGAACGGGAUUAGAAACCCGGGUAGUCC
This 450-nucleotide ribosomal RNA is filed under the name uncultured bacterium. Its description in RNAcentral is "partial 16S ribosomal RNA". It matches the Rfam family "Bacterial small subunit ribosomal RNA", at positions 354 to 796 of the family's 1533-position model. The record is from RNAcentral.